Molecule: unclassified non-coding RNA, 176 nt
Filed under: uncultured fungus
Lineage: Eukaryota; Fungi
Description: sequence contains ITS1
Source: RNAcentral
CUGAGACUGGGUGCUCCGGCGCCCGACCUCCAACCCCCUGUCUACCUUACCACUGUUGCCUCGGCGUUUCCACCCGCCCCCCUCUCGUAGGGGUUCGCUGGGCGGUGCGCCGGCGGCCAAAACAACAAAACCCUUUUUUAAACCGAGCAAUCUGAGAAAUUAUUUUAAUAACUUCA